GAUGAAGAACGUAGCGAAAUGCGAUAAGUAAUGUGAAUUGCAGAAUUCAGUGAAUCAUCGAAUCUUUGAACGCACAUUGCGCCCAUUAGUAUUCUAGUGGGCAUGCCUGUUCGAGCGUCAUUAAGUCCACUUAAGCCUAGCUUAGUGUUGGGAGACUGCUCCAGUGGUGCUACCCUGUAGCUACCCUGCAGCUCCUUAAAGACAGCGGCGGAGUCGUGUUAUCCUCUGAGCUUAGUAAAUCAUUCUAGCUUUCGAGAGUAUCACUUCAACGGCCGUUAAACCACCUAAUUUUUAUGGUUGACCUCGGAUCAGGUAGGAAUACCCGCUGAACUUAAGCAUAUCAAUAAGCGGAGGA
This 355-nucleotide unclassified non-coding RNA is filed under the name soil metagenome. RNAcentral describes it as "partial contains 5.8S ribosomal RNA, internal transcribed spacer 2, and large subunit ribosomal RNA". The stretch from base 1 to 120 matches the Rfam family "5.8S ribosomal RNA", at positions 35 to 154 of the family's 154-position model. The record is from RNAcentral.